CCCCAGCUCACAAGGAGGGAGGAGAUGGAGAGAGGCUGGUCAACACAAGGGUGGUGCAGGCGGCCCCUCUGGCGUGUGACUCUACUCCCUGUGGGGAUGCUGUGCAAGACAUCUCUAUUGAGGAUGCUGAAUAUGACAUCUGUAAUGAGGACACUGUACGAGACGUCUCUAAUGAGGAUGCUGUAGAAGACAUCUCUAAUGAUGACGCUGUAUACGACAUCGCUAAUGAGGACGCUGUAUAUGACAUCGCUAAUGAGGAUGCUGUACAAUACAUCUCUAAAAAAGAAGAUGCUGCCACUGUAAGAUACUUUUCUUUGUUUUGAACAGAAAUGUUACUUUCCUGGCUUCUUUUGAGUCAGAUGUACACAUGAACAUCUGCCAAUGUGCA
This 388-nucleotide long non-coding RNA is filed under the name Piliocolobus tephrosceles (Ugandan red Colobus). RNAcentral describes it as "lncRNA (ENSPTEG00000039169.1)". The record is from RNAcentral. Lineage: Eukaryota; Metazoa; Chordata; Mammalia; Primates; Cercopithecidae.